GACGAACGCUGGCGGCGUGCUUAACACAUGCAAGUCGAACGGAAAGGCCCUGCUUUUGUGGGGUGCUCGAGUGGCGAACGGGUGAGUAACACGUGAGUAACCUGCCCUUGACUUUGGGAUAACUUCAGGAAACUGGGGCUACUACCGGAUAGGAGCUCCUGCUGCAUGGGGGGGGUUGGAAAGUUUCGGCGGUGGGGGAUGGACUCGCGGCUUGUCAGCUUGUUGGUGGGGGAGUGGCUUACCAAGGCUUUGACGGGUAGCCGGCCUGAGAGCGUGACCGGCCACAUUGGGACUGAGGUACGGCCCAGUCUCCUACGGGGGGCAGCAGUGGGGAAUAUUGCACAAUGGGCGGACGCGUGAUGCAGCAACGCCGCGUGCGGGAUGACGGCCUUCGGGUUGUAAACCGCUUUCGCCUGUGACGAAGCGUGAGUGACGGUAAUGGGUAAAGAAGCACCGGCUAACUACGUG
RNAcentral lists this ribosomal RNA (468 nucleotides) under uncultured bacterium. RNAcentral describes it as "partial 16S ribosomal RNA". It matches the Rfam family "Bacterial small subunit ribosomal RNA", at positions 28 to 507 of the family's 1533-position model. The record is from RNAcentral.